This 230-nucleotide ribosomal RNA is filed under the name uncultured Bacteroidota bacterium. RNAcentral describes it as "uncultured Bacteroidetes bacterium partial 16S ribosomal RNA". Lineage: Bacteria; Pseudomonadati; Bacteroidota. The record is from RNAcentral.
AAGUUAGCCGAUCCUUAUUCUUACGGUACCAUCAGCCCACUACACGUAGUGGGGUUUUUUCCCGUAUAAAAGCAGUUUACAACCCAUAGGGCAUUCAUCCUGCACGCGGCAUGGCUGGAUCAGUGUUGCCACCAUUGUCCAAUAUUCCUUACUGCUGCCUCCCGUAGGAGUCUGGUCCGUGUCUCAGUACGGGGCGGGGGCGGCGGGCCGGGCGCGGGGCGCGGCGGGCG